UANGCGNAGGAAAAGAANCUAACAAGGAUUCCCCUAGUAACUGCGAGUGAAGCGGGAAAAGCUCAAAUUUAAAAUCUGGUGGUCUUUGGCCGUCCGAGUUGUAAUUUAGAGAAGCGUCUUCCGCGCUGGACCGUGCACAAGUCUCCUGGAAUGGAGCGUCAUAGAGGGUGAGAAUCCCGUCUUUGGCACGGACACACCAGGGCUUUUGUGAUGCGCUCUCGAAGAGUCGAGUUGUUUGGGAAUGCAGCUCAAAAUGGGUGGUGAACUCCAUCUAAAGCUAAAUAUUGGCGAGAGACCGAUAGCGAACAAGUACCGUGAGGGAAAGAUGAAAAGCACUUUGGAAAGAGAGUGAAACAGUACGUGAAAUUGUUGAAAGGGAAACGCUUGAAGUCAGUCGCGUCGACCGAGACUCAGCCUUGCCUUGGCUUGGUGUACUUCUCGGCUGACGGGUCAGCAUCAAUUUUGCCCCUUGGAUAAUGGUGAGGGAAAUGUGACACCUUUACGGUGUGUUAUAGUCUCUUGUCGCAUGCAAGGGUCGGGAUUGAGGAACUCAGCACGCGCCCUUGGGCGUCGGGGCUUUUGCCCACGAUACGUGCUUAGGAUGUUGGCAUAAUGGCUUUAAACGACC
RNAcentral lists this ribosomal RNA (628 nucleotides) under uncultured Russulaceae. RNAcentral's name for it is "LSU rRNA". It matches the Rfam family "Eukaryotic large subunit ribosomal RNA", at positions 47 to 649 of the family's 3401-position model. The record is from RNAcentral. Lineage: Eukaryota; Fungi; Basidiomycota; Agaricomycetes; Russulales; Russulaceae.